RNAcentral lists this long non-coding RNA (292 nucleotides) under Nicotiana benthamiana. Its description in RNAcentral is "long non-coding RNA (NBEN_LNC016265)". Lineage: Eukaryota; Viridiplantae; Streptophyta; Magnoliopsida; Solanales; Solanaceae. The record is from RNAcentral.
UCUUGUUGAUUAUAUAAAGUAGAUAAAUUAUUUUGUGUCUGCUCAUUUGCAGGUGGUGACAAGUUUAAAUCAAUGCAAACUCUGGAAAAAAUUGCUCCAGACCUGCUCAUUCGCUGGUGGUGAUAAGUUUAAAUCAAUGUAAACUCUUUCUUCACCAAUCUGUCCGGCAAAAAUUGCUCCAGAAUAACCACCCGAUGAUUGGGGGCUAUCCAUGCUACGCACCCUCUUCCACCUUAACGUACAUUUCCAAUAAUUUUAUUACAAUAAAUUUCCCGUAUUCCUGGAAUCCACA